CAGUGUUGAAGGAGUAAUGUCAGUGGUGGGAAUGAAGACAAUCUUGUAUUGGUGAUUUGUAGUCUUGUAACUACCGCCAUUAUUAGUCACCAAGAAAUUGUCAAUGUUUCUCCAAGCACCAACAGGUACUUUUUUCUCCAAACGAUCAAAGUAUGUCUUCUUACAUGAUGCAUGAAUCUUGUUACCCUUCAAUAUAAUAAGAAUAAACGGAUUAGAUAAAAAUUUAAAAUAUAGAUGUAUUUAGGAAUCAUUUGUUUCCGCAACAAUAAAUAAGAGAACAUGAUUUAGAAAGGUGUUUGCCAUUUAGAUGUAGUUACGAAUAGUGAGAACAAAAUAACAGAAAGAAUCAUAAGAAAGUUUAGAGACGUACAUAUGCAUCAGAGAAAACGAUUUCCAAGGUUUCUCCUGAAAGAGGUGUGAACUGCUUCCAAGUAUGAAGGACCUUAACUUGUAGACGCCAGGAAGUUCUGUACGGACGAACUUGAUUGACAAAGCUGAGUUCCAUAAUUGCAGUGCAGUUUCUGUAAAGAUUGAAGGUGUGGUGGAGUUAUGCGUAGACUGCAAUAUUUAUAAGUGCAGUUUCUGUAAAGAUGGAAGGUGUGGAGAUUUUUCCGGAAAUAUAGUAGUGGUGAUGUUACGUGAUUAAAGGAAUAAAAUAAUCAGAAAAGUAUUUAUGUUCUAUCUUUUCAGAAAUCAUGGGUUUUUUUAUUUAAUUAUUAUUUAGGAAAUUGUAGUGUUUGUAUUUAUAAUCUGGGUUAUAAUAUUUUCCUAUGAUGUGGAAAAUUCACUGAAUCAUAUGGUGACGUAAAGAACUUGAGCAAUUUCACAUUUUUUUAAUUAUAUUGUAUUAAAAAAGUUUGACGUAAAGAACAUGACAAAUUUCACUUCUUUUUUUUUUUUAAUUUUAUGAACUUUUUGUGGGAUACCUAGUUGAUUUUACAAUAUAAAUAUACUAUAAUUCACAAUAAGAUUAUAUGAUUCUGAUCAUAUUAUUGUGAAUAUAUUGAUGCAGUUAGGUGAGAACUGAUGUGGUGGUUAUUAGGUUAACUGAUGUGGUGGUUAUUGUAUAAAGUUUGUAUUUUUAUUAUAUACAGUUAUCAUAUCAAAAGGUAUGUAUCAUGGAAAAUAUUUGUUGAACUAAACUAAUAUCAAUAGGUCACAUUUGUGUUUUAAUAGAAUAGAUAUGUUUAAACCAAAAGAUAGGAAUAGUUAUUUUUAAACAUAACUGUCGCUACAUAUAAGAAGUGGGUUCCUAUAAUUAUGGAAAUAAAGUAGAAUAAAUAACUGAAGAGUAACAACGAUUGUAUAAAUAGCUUCUUAUUGGUUGGUAGGUCCAGUGGCAUUUAAGUAAUAUUCCAAGGUAUAUUGAGGGUAAAAAAUAACAAUGAUUCUGUAUUAAUAAUAUUGAAUAGAUAAACCAAAAGAUAGGAAUAGUUAUUUUUAAACAUAACUGUCGCUACGUAUAAGAAGUGGGUUCCUAUAAUUAUGGAAAUAAAGUAGAAUAAAUAACUGAAGAGUAACAACGAUUGUAUAAAUAGCUUCUUAUUGGUUGGUAGGUCCAGUGGCAUUUAAGUAAUAUUCCAAGGUAUAUUGAGGGUAAAAAAUAACAAUGAUUCUGUAUUAAUAAUAUUGAAUGAGGCUGGCCACGAAAUUACUGGCAGGAGAAAUCUCCGAAGUCACCGGUGUCAAGGAUCUCAUCCACGAUUCUGAUCGCCCAUCGAAGACUGACAAAACCCUAGAGAAUCCUUCUCAAGGGAAUCAGUCGGGCGAAAAACGUGGGAGAAGGCAUGACGACAAAGAAAACAACAAUAAUCAUCGCAGAGUAAAAAUGAUAAUCGGCGGAUCGCAGUACAGCCAUGAAACGGUGUCGUCCAUCAAGGCCUACCAGCGAAAAGCUAAAACAAGCACAAACUGGCCGACCGCAUUGGAUAAACUCCAUGAAGGCAGUUCCGUCAACAUAUCACCUAGGCAUUAAAUUCUCGACUCCUAACGGAAUCGCGGCGAUUUUGGGAUACCAAAAACAAUCGCGGCUUUGCUUCCUGGCCAAACACAAACUACGACAAGUCACAACGACCUCUAUGGUCAAACCUAAACAAACAAAAACAGCUCAGAUAACUUCUAAAAACGCUUCGGAAAGAGAUGAUCCAAAAUCAUCCACGCAUGCAACGGCUGCGGAAAACAAGAGAGCGGCUAAUACGUCCGACGCAAUCUCGCGAAACGAGUAAGAAACACUCACGGCACAAACUGAACUACCAGAUGGCUUGAUCCCCGAAAGGGGUACGUAAGUAACUCGUCGCAAGACGAGUUCAGCUACCCUCCUCUCUAAAAAGGGGGGGGGGGAGUGGGUACGUAUACGUAUACUCGUAUACUCCCACAUUUUAAAUAUAUGUCCAUGUAUUCGAUAUUUUAAAAACUUUUAUGAUAAUAAGAAAACGAAAUAUGAUUUCCUAUGAAAUCUUGCAACUCACUUUAUCGUAUCUCGUAAAUCGCGUUUUGGCCACGAUAGCAAUCAGCGAUUCACUCAAAAACACCCAAAAAUGAAGAAAAAUCGUAUGGCUCAGACACGGGAAUUGUGCGAAUUCAACCUAUCAAAUCCCAGAUACUUUCAAAGUAUCUCGCAGACCACAUAAAGACAUUCACAACACUAAAUUAUUCCAAAAAACCCGCAAACGUUUCGUCUAGAGAGCAGUACCUUAGGAAAACUAUUCCUAACAAACUAUUUCGACCACAACGUCAAAAUCGUCAUUCAGACCUUGUCCUAAAAAACGUGAAAAUCACUUUACGCAAAGGAAAACACGUAUUUUUUGGAAAAGCGAGACGUCGCAAAAGCUUCUGAAGGUAUAUUUUCCAGACAUCAAAGUCUGUUCUCGACUAUAAACUAACAAAGUUCGUUGAUUGGCCACGACGAAUAAUUUAGUCGUCUUAAACUAAUGCAAACCGACCUUCCUCUUCACAGGAAUUUUCACUAGUACAUCCGACAAGGAUAAAUAAUGCGCUAUAAAAGAAAUCCAGAAUUUUUGGUCAUCACUUCCGAGACUUAGAAAUUUUCUUCGGAGAGAUGCUCGAUUCAUACCAGACAAGUCCGAUAAGCCGAGAACCUAUCUCAGACUUUAAAUCUGAACGAAUUAGGUUUAGAUCGCAUAUGGGAAUAUAUAAGCCGAAGUAGUCAUCGCACACCCUAAAACUAACCGAAAAUCUAGGUCUUACCCUAAACCCAUCACACUGGCCUUUAACAUGUCAAGGCAUAGUAUUUGACGAUACGAGAUCCCAAAAUUGUCUCUUCGUAUAUUCCACGUUCACGAAUCUUCGUAAAAUUAAAAUUUUUUGAAUUUCUUCGCCUAAAACGAACAACGAAUACGACAAUCUAUCAAAGGAGUUAGAUAUGAGAUGACAACUCAUAUUCUUCCCUCUACAUCUACAAAAACUCACGAACUCUUUAAACAUAAAUAUCAUAGUUCAUUAAUCGACAAAGCCGCCCGGCGGCAGGGAUUCAAAGCCACACACGGCCAGUCCCGAUAACAUAGAAAUAUGUCGAGGUCAAAAACGGUUAUCUCGAAAUCAAUGUCUAAAAGUUACAUUUCUAUGAGAAAACUUUCUCGACACACUCUCGACAAAAGUUCUCGAAUCAAAAGACUCGAGAAAAAUGGAUCACGAAGUCAAACGAGCGGUCCAAUUCGCCCGUUCGGCAAUUCGGACCAAAUCCUCUUGCCGUGGACCGGACCUUAUGCCUUUUCCCCGAGCCUCGACGGAUCAAUCCCUCGUUUCGUAUCGAUCGGAGUUACCAUUCGAACUUUACAACAAGAACCGUGAAGACUCGUUUUCCCGAAUGAAGUCCAUGGUUAUCGUAUAAACGGCAACAGUUAACUUAACACCACAAUUGUCUAAACUAUACGAGAAGUGUGGACUUCCUCGAUAAGACGACUUCGUAUCAAGCAGAGUUCUUUCUAAGAAAUCGUAAAAAUGUCUAAGUAAAUAAACGGCCAAAAGAGGCCUAGAACGCGGCUAACAGCCCACUUACGAAUUUCAUACGACAGCCCACUUACGAAUUUCAUACGACACCCCACUUACGAUUUCAUACGAAAUUAAGCCCAUCAGUGCUAUGACGGUUUAUCUUUACUUGCGGAAAAAGAUAAAUCUCAAGAAAUCGGAGGAUAAAUGUCAAGUUUCCAAGAUAAGAUGAAGAUCGAGAAGAAAUGGAAUAUUUCCGCGAGACAAUGAACUCGACCUAGGGGCAAGAAAGGAAGCGGGAACCGACUUAGAAGGCCAAGGGCGCAAGGGAUGACUUGAUACUUAGAAAAACUCUCCUAGCUUAGGAAAACUUAGAAUUUAGGCGGCUCGAUUUUAGUUAGACUCUUUUCGCUCUUGUUCUGAGUUCAACUUGGCUAGCGAAACUCUGUCCGUCUUGUCUUUCGGAAAUCCUGUAACCUUGUUCUUUUAUCAAUCAAUAAUACGCCAUUGUGCAAUUUACUUUCGAUAUUCAGUUAUCUCUGUCUCUUUCGUUUUUUAGGUGUUUACGCAGAUAAUCCGGGACCUCAAGGAAAUUAGGGUUUCCUAACUUUCCUAAUUUAAACGAAAAUCUAUAGUGUGAAUUUUGGUUCCCACAGUUUGGCACUAGAAGGAGGGGGGGGGAACCAACCAAAGAAGUAAUAGCUUCAGGAAAUGAAUCAAUAUCUUCUAGCUGUAUAAUGAAUGUAGAGUUACAUAAUAAAUUACUUGCAUCUGUAAAAUAAAUGUAGUUAUAAUUAAUAGUUUAUGAAAUAGAGUAUACCUCAUCAAAUGAACCAUCGAGAAGGUUGAGAGCAGUCUCAGGCACAAUUCCUUGUGCAGUCCAGUCCAAUAACAUGAGGGUAGCUUCUCCAGUACCAUCCUUAACCUUCACAUGAAUCUUGAACCUACAUAAUAUAAUAAACAUAAUCAAAUUACGUAUGCAAAUUUUUUGACUAUUCAUAAACUGUGUUUUGUAAAGUAAACUUACUUUGGGGAGACAUCUGUAACUUUAUGGUUGCAACCUUCACACCACCAAACAUGAGAUUUAGUCUCUUUUCCGUUGACUGUUUUCACUGAAGUUGAAAACGGAAGAACCUUUUUUCCCAGGCAAGCAUUGCAUCCGAAAAAGUACCAUCCCCAAUCCUUAUCAAUUGCAUAGAUUGUGCUAAUGAUUCUGCAUUGCCCAAUCUACAUUUAUAAUAUAUACAAAUUAGUGUUUGACAAAUAAAUCACUACUAUAACAUAUAUUGAAUCGAUAAAUAUAACCUGAGAUGAUGCAAGAAGCUCUGCAAUGUCUUUCUGAGGGAAAAGCAACCACUUAUCACGUCUUAAUUCCCUCUCAAUUUUAUCUUUUUCAGAUUGAAAUGUUGUCAAAGCAUUGGACGGUUCAACCCUGUAAACAUAAAUUAACAUAGAUUCGUCAUAAUAUUCCUUGAGCUUUAUCUAAUUUAUUAAUCUGUUAUCAAAACCUUUUCAUAAACUCAUCUGUCUCCUUUAUUGGUGGGUUGAAAACGACCUGAGAUGCAUCAAACGCAUUGGAUAUCUGAACCUGGUCUGCAUAUUAUCAAUAGUAAUAAAAAAUCAGUAACGCUCUUAUUCAAGAAAAAUAAUAAACACUGUAUUAUUUUAUAUAAAAAGAAAAUGAUAUGAGAUUACUUCGAUAGGUCCCGAUUUUAGCAAAACGUAUUAGGCAUACAACAAUUUCUUCUUCAGAUUGUUGGCUGAAACUGUGUAUUGCUUCAGCAAACUUUCCCCAAAGGCAGCAAGGUAUCUUUUGAUCACUGUUGAAAACAUAUAUUAAUAGCUUAAAAAAUAUAUGAUAUAAGAAAUACAUAAAUUAAUAUAUUACUUGAUGUCUCUCAAGCUGAACUCGAUUUUCUUUCUUUCUUUACCGUGACACUGCACAGUUUCCAGAUCUCCCAACUCAAACACUUGUCCAAUAACAUCUGAUAUUGUACACAUCAUAUGUAAGAUUCGUAAAACACUUUAGAAAAAUAUAGAAGUAAAAAUUUGUAUGAAUGUAUUAAACUAACCAAUUAAGUUGGUUGUAUCAAGUUUUCCACUUUGAAUGCUUUCAAAGUCAACCAAACUAAGGAACAUUUUUUCCUCUUGCAGUGUUGAAGGAGUAAUGUCAGUGGUGGGAAUGAAGACAAUCUUGUAUUGGUGAUUUGUAGUCUUGUAACUACCGCCAUUAUUAGUCACCAAGAAAUUGUCAAUGUUUCUCCAAGCACCAACAGGUACUUUUUUCUCCAAACGAUCAAAGUAUGUCUUCUUACAUGAUGCAUGAAUCUUGUUACCCUUCAAUAUAAUAAGAAUAAACGGAUUAGAUAAAAAUUUAAAAUAUAGAUGUAUUUAGGAAUCAUUUGUUUCCGCAACAAUAAAUAAGAGAACAUGAUUUAGAAAGGUGUUUGCCAUUUAGAUGUAGUUACGAAUAGUGAGAACAAAAUAACAGAAAGAAUCAUAAGAAAGUUUAGAGACGUACAUAUGCAUCAGAGAAAACGAUUUCCAAGGUUUCUCCUGAAAGAGGUGUGAACUGCUUCCAAGUAUGAAGGACCUUAACUUGUAGACGCCAGGAAGUUCUGUACGGACGAACUUGAUUGACAAAGCUGAGUUCCAUAAUUGCAGUGCAGUUUCUGUAAAGAUUGAAGGUGUGGUGGAGUUAUGCGUAGACUGCAAUAUUUAUAAGUGCAGUUUCUGUAAAGAUGGAAGGUGUGGAGAUUUUUCCGGAAAUAUAGUAGUGGUGAUGUUACGUGAUUAAAG
RNAcentral lists this long non-coding RNA (6747 nucleotides) under Brassica napus (rape). RNAcentral's name for it is "long non-coding RNA (BNAP_LNC019189)". The record is from RNAcentral. Lineage: Eukaryota; Viridiplantae; Streptophyta; Magnoliopsida; Brassicales; Brassicaceae.